ACGCGGUUUGGCACCUCGAUGUCGACUCAUCGCAUCCUGGGGCUGAAGUAGGUCCCAAGGGUUCGGCUGUUCGCCGAUUAAAGCGGUACGAGAGUUGGGUUCAGAACGUCGUGAGACAGUUCGGUCCCUAUCUGUUGUGGGCGUAGGAGACUUGAGAGGCUCUGUCCUUAGUACGAGAGGACCGGGAUGGACGAACCUCUGGUGUUCCGGUUGUCAUGCCAGUGGCAUUGCCGGGUAGCUAUGUUCGGAUGGGAUAACCGCUGAAAGCAUCUAAGUGGGAAACCCACCUCAAGAUUAGGUCUCCCGGGGAGUAAUCCCCCUAAAGACCUGUGGUAGACCACCACGUUGAUAGGCUGGAGGUGUAAGUGCGGUGACGCAUUAAGCUGACCAGUACUAAUCGGUCGUGAGACUUGACCCU
RNAcentral lists this ribosomal RNA (418 nucleotides) under Nitrospirota bacterium. RNAcentral's name for it is "Nitrospirae bacterium (sediment metagenome) partial 23S ribosomal RNA". It matches the Rfam family "Bacterial large subunit ribosomal RNA", at positions 2511 to 2925 of the family's 2925-position model. The record is from RNAcentral. Lineage: Bacteria; Pseudomonadati; Nitrospirota.